CGGAGUGUGGCUCAGCUUGGUAGAGUAUCUCGCUUGGGACGAGGAGGUCGUAGGUUCAAAUCCUAUCACUCCGACCA
Molecule: transfer RNA, 77 nt
Filed under: Rickettsiales bacterium
Lineage: Bacteria; Pseudomonadati; Pseudomonadota; Alphaproteobacteria; Rickettsiales
Description: tRNA-Pro
Rfam family: tRNA
About the family: Transfer RNA (tRNA) molecules are approximately 80 nucleotides in length. Their secondary structure includes four short double-helical elements and three loops (D, anti-codon, and T loops).
Source: RNAcentral